RNAcentral lists this long non-coding RNA (1450 nucleotides) under Triticum aestivum (bread wheat). RNAcentral's name for it is "long non-coding RNA (TAES_LNC007528)". The record is from RNAcentral. Lineage: Eukaryota; Viridiplantae; Streptophyta; Magnoliopsida; Poales; Poaceae.
AGGUGUAGACAGAAACGGAAUGUUGCGUCUUCAGAACCUAAAUGUUUGUAUCUUAUGCGCUGCUAUUAAGUGUCUUUUUCAGUUCAUGUGUUAUCUAAUAAGCAUGGAGACUUUUUAUUAGACUGAAUUAGCCAUGCAGGCUAGCUAUGGAUAAACAGAUCUCAGGCAUAGAGUCAUGAAUCAAAUCUAUAAACAAUAAUAUUUUUAUUACACUUAGAAUAUGCUAUCUUUUACUAUGUUCAUUUGAUCAAAAGCAUCAUCUUGUACAAUUCAACUUUUAUCCCAAAAGCAUCAUGCAACAUUUCUUUUGUCAACAUUGGAGAAAAGUUGGGCAUCCAUCAGCAUUUUCUUGAUUCUCGCGAACAUUUUUUCUUAUUCACUACAUAAGUUAUGAGAUUGAAAGUUGAUUGGCUCACUGCUUUGUUUGAAAUGUAUAAUUGACUGCAUUUUUGGAUGACUUGUUAUUUCCAACAGGGAACAGUUUGAUCCAAAAGUUUUCACAGAUGCAAAUUCCUUGAUGCCGUAGACAUCGGAUGCAGAUCAGCAUUCUAUCUCUCUCAGUCUUGACAUAGAUUCUGCAGUUGUAGCAAGAAAUCUCUGUUUUGGCUUGCUGCUUGGUCCACUUUUUAGGUGUUCUUAGGUAGGAAAAACAAGCCACAGUAUGGAUUUGUGAUAUUUGUUAGACAACAGGUCAACAGCAACAAUAACGUCGUCGCUGUCUGUUGAGGAACAAUGGCAAGAGGCACACUGCAAACAAGGAUACAGUUCAGGUCUCUUGUUCUUUCUUUUCCCCCACUCCAUCCCCACUGCAUUCAUUCCUGGACAAAGCUUAACCCUUCAUGUGUUCCUUUCAUCUUUUGAGCAGGAAAAACAUCUCUGCACCAACCAGGAGAAUAUCAGUGGGAGCAGUGUCCAGAAAGGCAGCCGCUUAUGGCUCGGCGGCAUAUAGGCUCCAGACGACGCACCUCAUCUCGCUCACUGGUCGCUGGUCGAUUUAUCCUGCAUAAUCGGUGAUUUUGGUGCUGGUCUGUGGUGUCACAAAUGUCUAGCACCUUACUGAACACUGCGUGCAGUGAGGGAGAAGUUAUGUUCUCGAACGUCUAGUGUAGAGACCAGAGUGGUUCCAUCUACGAGCUUGCUUUUCUUCCAUGUACGAGAGUUCCCUUCUGUACUAGGCACGUUUUUGUUAGUGUUCUAGUGUGUGUGUGGCGCGCGCGUGUGUGUGAAUUCAUGUAGAUUUUACCUGUAUUCUUAACUUAAUUUUACUGACAAGUUCUGUCACCUGUUACCUCUGUGAGAUAUAAAUUGUUUCUAUUCACAAGUGUGAAUUGAUCAAAUGGGUUAUAUAUUUUCAUGGAGAGAGAAAAUGACAAAUGGGGCUUAAAUUUUCUUUUUAGCGUACUGAAGCUUAAAUUUACGAUUAGGAAUCAGCGACCUUUUUUUCCUUUUG